RNAcentral lists this ribosomal RNA (406 nucleotides) under uncultured bacterium. Its description in RNAcentral is "partial 16S ribosomal RNA". It matches the Rfam family "Bacterial small subunit ribosomal RNA", at positions 30 to 526 of the family's 1533-position model. The record is from RNAcentral.
AUUGAACGCUGGCGGCAGGCCUAACACAUGCAAGUCGAACGAGUGGCGGACGGGUGAGUAAUGUCUGGGAAACUGCCUGAUGGAGGGGGAUAACUACUGGAAACGGUAGCUAAUACCGCAUACCAUCAGAUGUGCCCAGAUGGGUUUAGCUUGGUGGUGGGGUAACGGCUCACCAAGGCGACGUUCCCUAGCUGGUCUGAGGGGAUGACAGGCCACACUGGAACUGAGACACGGUCCAGACCCCUACGGUAGGCAGCAGUGGGGAAUAUUGAACAAUGGGCGGAAGCCUGAUGCGGCCAUGCCGCGUGUAUGAAGAAGGCCUGCGGGUUGUAAAGUACUUUCAGCAGGGAGGCGUUACCCGCAGAAGAAGCACCGGCUAACUCCGUGCCAGCAGCCGCGGUAAUAC